Molecule: ribosomal RNA, 253 nt
Filed under: uncultured bacterium
Lineage: Bacteria
Description: partial 16S ribosomal RNA
Rfam family: Bacterial small subunit ribosomal RNA
Source: RNAcentral
UACGGGGGGGGCAAGCGUUGUUCGGAAUUACUGGGCGUAAAGGGCUCGUAGGCGGCCAACUAAGUCAGACGUGAAAUCCCCAGGCUCAACCUGGGAACUGCGUCUGAUACUGGAUGGCUUGAAUCCGGGAGAGGGAUGCAGAAUUCCAGGUGUAGCGGUGAAAUGCGUAGAUAUCAAGAGGAACACCUGAGGUGAAGACGGGUUGCUGGGCCAACACUGACGCUGAUGCGCGAAAGCCAGGGGAGCAAACGGG